Molecule: ribosomal RNA, 253 nt
Filed under: uncultured bacterium
Lineage: Bacteria
Description: partial 16S ribosomal RNA
Rfam family: Bacterial small subunit ribosomal RNA
Source: RNAcentral
UACGAAGGGGGCUAGCGUUGCUCGGAAUCACUGGGCGUAAAGCGCACGUAGGCGGAUCUUUAAGUCAGGGGUGAAAUCCUGGAGCUCAACUCCAGAACUGCCUUUGAUACUGGGGAUCUCGAGUCCGGGAGAGGUGAGUGGAACCCCGAGUGUAGAGGUGAAAUUCGUAGAUAUUCGGAAGAACCCCAGUGGCGAAGGCGGCUCACUGGCCCGGUACUGACGCUGAGGUGCGAAAGCGUGGGGAGCAAACAGG